CCCUUAGACGUUCUGGGCCGCACGCGCGCUACACUGACCAGUGCAACAAGCAUCCGUCCUUGGCCGACAGGCCCGGGCAAUCUUUGAACGUGCAUCGUGAUAGGGAUAGAUUAUUGCAAUUAUUAAUCUUGAACGAGGAAUUCCUAGUAAACGCAGAUCAUCAAUCUGCAUUGAUUACGUCCCUGCCCUUUGUACACACCGCCCGUCGCACCUACCGAUUGGAUGGUCCGGUGAAGCCUCGGGAUUGUGGCGGUUGCCUUUAUUGGUGGCCGCCGCGAGAACUUGUCUAAACCUUAUCAUCUAGAGGAAGGUGAAGUCGUAACA
This 324-nucleotide ribosomal RNA is filed under the name uncultured eukaryote. Its description in RNAcentral is "partial 18S ribosomal RNA". It matches the Rfam family "Eukaryotic small subunit ribosomal RNA", at positions 1470 to 1796 of the family's 1831-position model. The record is from RNAcentral.